Molecule: ribosomal RNA, 255 nt
Filed under: uncultured bacterium
Lineage: Bacteria
Description: partial 16S ribosomal RNA
Rfam family: Bacterial small subunit ribosomal RNA
Source: RNAcentral
UACGGAGGGUGCGAGUGUUGUCCGGAAUCACUGGGCGUAAAGGGCGCGUAGGCGGCGCGGAUAGUCGGCGGUGAAAGCCCGGAGCUCAACUCCGGGUCGGCCGUCGAUACUUCCGGGCUUGAGCACUGUAGAGGCAGAUGGAAUUCCGGGUGUAGCGGUGGAAUGCGUAGAGAUCCGGAAGAACACCGGUGGCGAAGGCGGUCUGCUGGGCAGUUGCUGACGCUGAUGCGCGACAGCGGUGGGGAGCAAACGAGG